RNAcentral lists this ribosomal RNA (774 nucleotides) under uncultured Neocallimastigales. RNAcentral describes it as "partial large subunit ribosomal RNA". It matches the Rfam family "Eukaryotic large subunit ribosomal RNA", at positions 24 to 644 of the family's 3401-position model. The record is from RNAcentral. Lineage: Eukaryota; Fungi; Neocallimastigomycota; Neocallimastigomycetes; Neocallimastigales.
UAUCUCUGUAGAGUCUGCAUAUCAAUAAGCGGAGGAAAAGAAACUAACAAGGAUUCCCUUAGUAACGGCGAGUGAAGCGGGAAGAGCUCAAAUUUGAAAUCUUCAAGGUUCUACCUUGACGAAUUGUAGUUUAAAGAAGUGUUUUCUGUUAGAUGAGUAGCAAAAGUUCCUUGGAAUGGGACAUCAUAGAGGGUGAGAAUCCCGUAUUUGGUUAUUCAUUCUAGCUUUGUGAUACACUUUCAAAGAGUCGGAUUGUUUGGGAAUGCAGUCCAAAAUGGGUGGUAAAUUUCAUCUAAAGCUAAAUAUUGGCGAGAGACCGAUAGCGAACAAGUACCGUGAGGGAAAGAUGAAAAGAACUUUGAAAAGAGAGUUAAACAGUACGUGAAAUUGUCAAAAGGGAAGCGUUUGACACCAGUGUUGUUUUUCCGAAAAUCAAUUACGAAUGGCUUGAUUUUGUGUUGUAUUGACCUUAUCAGCUUUCUGCACUUUUUUCGAGUCUUUCUUAAUGCACUUUUCGGUUAACAAGUCAACAUCAAUUUCUUUUGUUGUAAAAGAGUAUUCGGAAGGUGGCUUUCUUUUCGGAGAAAGUGUUUAUAGCCCUAUACUUCUACAAUCGGAGAGAUUGAGGUCUGCAGCGUAGAUCCUUCGGGGUUAGAUACACUUGUGCUAAGUUGUAGCUUUUCAUAGACAACUUGUUGACUAUGUUUAGUCAUGCGGCUUACUCGCUUGUGCUAUUUUACCUACGCUUAGGAUGUUGACUGAUAUGUAGUCGUA